AACGAACGCCGGCGGCAUGCCUAAUACAUGCAAGUCGAACGAUCUCUUCGGAGAUAGUGGCGCACGGGUGCGUAACGCGUGGGAAUCUACCCUUGGGUUCGGAAUAACUUCGGGAAACUGAAGCUAAUACCGGAUGAUGACGUAAGUCCAAAGAUUUAUCGCCCAGGGAUGAGCCCGCGUAGGAUUAGCUAGUUGGUGAGGUAAAGGCUCACCAAGGCGACGAUCCUUAGCUGGUCUGAGAGGAUGAUCAGCCACACUGGGACUGAGACACGGCCCAGACUCCUACGGGAGGCAGCAGUAGGGAAUAUUGGACAAUGGGGGCAACCCUGAUCCAGCAAUGCCGCGUGAGUGAUGAAGGCCUUAGGGUUGUAAAGCUCUUUUACCCGGGAUGAUAAUGACAGUACCGGGAGAAUAAGCCCCGGCUAACUCCGUGCCAGCCGCCGCCGUAA
RNAcentral lists this ribosomal RNA (449 nucleotides) under uncultured bacterium. RNAcentral describes it as "partial 16S ribosomal RNA". It matches the Rfam family "Bacterial small subunit ribosomal RNA", at positions 29 to 523 of the family's 1533-position model. The record is from RNAcentral.